Molecule: long non-coding RNA, 2164 nt
Organism: Daphnia magna
Lineage: Eukaryota; Metazoa; Arthropoda; Branchiopoda; Diplostraca; Daphniidae
Exons: 8
Source: RefSeq, a predicted model, not a curated record
AUUCCUACGUGUUUCUGUUGUGUGUUGUCUGCUGCAACCUGCAAAGCAACGCGUGAAAAACUCACAAUGUCGGUUUCGCUGGGAUCUGCAUCGGUAGUUAAUCCCCUAAUAGAAAGAUAAAUUUAAAAUGAUUGCUACCAGUCCGCUCGCAGAAUGUUUGCUGUAACUACUCAAAUAAUUCCUUACAGACUUACUUAAAAUCUAGCAGAAUAAAUGCAGCAGUAGGUUAAUUGAUACGUCCAGUUAUAAAUCAAUGUCUAAGCGGAUUACAUGAUGUUACUUUGAUAUUGUCAGGAGUUUAUCAUUAUUUACUAGAAUCCAAGAAGGUACUGCUUAACUGGACAUUGAUGGCAGGUUAAUUUUUAAAAAGUUUGUACUUCAAAUAUAGGAACUAUCUUGCUUUCGGCGGAUUAUUCUCAGUUGGAACUUCGAAUAUUGGCGCAUUUGAGCGAAGACGCAGGUCUUUGUUCUGUUCUUAGCCAACCCGAUGGCGAUGUUUUUCACGGCAUUGUAUCGGUUUGGAAAAAGAAAAAGCAAGAAGAAGUCAGAGACGAUGAAAGGCAACAAGCGAAACAAAUCUGCUACGGGAUUGUUUACGGCAUGGGAUGUAAAAGUUAAGCCGAACAGUUGGAAGUCGGGGAAGAAGAGGCUCAACUCUUUGUUAACACUUUCCACGCAACGUACGUUGCUUUAAUUACGUUUCUAAUUAUGUGUUGUGGACUUGUGGGUUUCGUUGAAAAACAAAUUCUUCUGGAUUUGCCUUGUAUACCACCGGUAAGUUCCGUUUUAGGUUGAAGUAAUUUCUUCUCCAUAUUUAUUGCUAAUGAGCAUGGUAAAACAAAAUAAAAUAAUCAACGUCAAACCAUAUGAUUCUGAGGAUGUUAGGGUGGACCCUGUGUUGCACAGCAGUCGUUACUAAUAGCACGAUAAUUCUUUACUUCGAUGUAUGCCCUAGAUUAGGAAACUAAAACACGUAAACGAAGCUCGUGUCUUGAUUAAAACUUAAAAACGAAUUUUGACGAAGUGUAAAUGAGUCUCGCCCGCCAAUUUGAGCAAUAACUCUUUGUCGAUUUAAACUAGAAAAAAGAUUUUAAAGUCGGGGCCGCCUAGUGUCACUUGACUAGAAGCUUGUUUAUAUGGUUUUAAAAGCGAAUUGUAUUAAGGAAAUUUGUAAUUGAGAUGAACUGCUUCGUAGCCGGCAUUAUGAAGUCAAAAUUGUCUUCAAUAUAUUGAUGCACUUGCCUACUGUUAUUUCAGAUUCACAGUUUAUUUGCCAUGCUGGGAUUCGCAUUGGUGAAUAAAUGAAGGAGGGGGAAUCCUGGACAAGAUGACCUUAGAUGUCCAUCAUCAGUGGGGAAAGAAGAUGGAGGAAAAGAUGUCGUGGUUUUUUUUGGCAUUUUUCGAUUUCACUUGGCACGUUGCGUACAUCAUUUUUUCGGCUGACGGCGCGUAUGUUUGUCGCAUCGGAUUCAACGUUUUGUUAAGGUGGCCAAUCAAAUUGAGAGAAAUCCCAUUAGAUCUAAUGAUUUGAUUCUGGACUUGUUAAACGGUAGCAAGUACAUUGAUACGUUCGCCAUUUUUAUUCUGCGGACAACGAAUGCAGACGCUGGUGAUUAUCCUCCUGAAUGGUCUGCCAGUUCAACGUUAUUACGAGAAUGAACCUCUUGUUUUUUUUAGUCUUGCAAAGACUUAAAAAAAGUCAGGUAAGGCGAGGUGAGCGAUUGCUUCGGAGUAUACGCCCUGCGGCCGAUAUUGGAACUAAAAUAAACUUGUGCAUUCGGAUAUCGUUAUUUCAGAUGGAAAUAGAAAGGAGACUACUACGAAACCCCAUGGAAUUGGAGCCGGCCGAUCAUCAUUUGAAGUUUCCCAGUUGAUGAAACAGCCUUGGUACAUGAACCAAUCGGGCACACACAAAAAACGGACAAGAAGCAUAUUGCAGUAUAAUAAUUUAUUUCAUUCUUCACUUUUUUAGGAAAGUUGUUAGGAUGUGUCUGAACAAUGUUUCAAAAAAUCGUGGCGUUAAUAUUUUUCUAAAACAGUAUAUUGUCACGUGGAGAUCACGUGACAUACGCGUGAGACACACCCCACACUCACCUCCUUCUUGGAAACAAGCAAGGGCGAAUGUACGAGUACAUUCGACCUUGUUUUGUCUGAAUGUUGCGGU